RNAcentral lists this ribosomal RNA (204 nucleotides) under uncultured bacterium. Its description in RNAcentral is "partial 16S ribosomal RNA". It matches the Rfam family "Bacterial small subunit ribosomal RNA", at positions 1297 to 1500 of the family's 1533-position model. The record is from RNAcentral.
AUCGCAGGCUGNAACCCGCCUGCGUGAAGUCGGAAUCGCUAGUAAUCGCGGAUCAGCAUGCCGCGGUGAAUACGUUCCCGGGCCUUGUACACACCGCCCGUCACACCAUGAGAGUCGGGAACACCCGAAGUCCGUAGCCUAACCGCAAGGAGGGCGCGGCCGAAGGUGGGUUCGAUAAUUGGGGUGAAGUCGUAACAAGGUAGC